Molecule: small RNA, 153 nt
Filed under: Arabidopsis thaliana (thale cress)
Lineage: Eukaryota; Viridiplantae; Streptophyta; Magnoliopsida; Brassicales; Brassicaceae
Description: ATSL026480
Source: RNAcentral
AGAUCGACCAGAAGUUGGAAUACUCGAUAUAAAAUCUGUCCGGUCGAGGAAUCCUCGAUCCGUACGUCCGAAUAGUCUAGGAAAAAAGAAAGUGUCGAAUAACUUUCUAAAAUCAACGAGUAAGAUGCAAUGUUUUAUGAUCAAAACUCUUAA